Manduca sexta (tobacco hornworm) is the source of this 5292-nucleotide RNA transcript. RefSeq lists it as uncharacterized. The record is from RefSeq and is a predicted model, not a curated record. Lineage: Eukaryota; Metazoa; Arthropoda; Insecta; Lepidoptera; Sphingidae. The transcript has a single exon.
ACCACGUUAACACACACACAUUUGCCGUCUGUCAAGACAUUUUAGACCUUAUUUCUAUCCACUAAAACUCUAAACCCAAGAACCGAAAUGCAGGCAAGUUGUUUUACUACGAAGCCAAACUCCCCGCUGCGCAUGCGCAUCUAACUUCAGUCUGGUACAAACAGUAUCGCGAUAAGGUCGUGUUCGUUAUAAAUUAUCGUAAUAUUUAAAAAAAUACGUUAAAUUUGCAAACUAUUAUGUAUAACGAGUGUUAUAUUUACAUAAAAACGUUACUGUGAGUGCUAGUGGCAGUUAGGUGUGUCGAAAGUGCUGUAAACAAUGGAAGACGUGUUCACCAUAAAAGUAAAAACAAAGCCGGACAAACGGAAUGUUUAUCCAUCAGAGAGGCGGUAUUCCGCGUCCACAGUGUCGGGGCUGGCCUGGGUCCACAUCGCCCUCGCCGCCACAUCGUUCCUACUCGCCUGUCUUGCGAUAGUUAGCCCGAAUGAACCAAAAAACAAUGAUAGAAAUACCACAGAGUACUUCGAGACGGAAACAGAGAACAGCACGGCUGUAUACAAUAACGAUUACGUUUUGAUAUUGGCGCCGAGUUUGAUAACCGCUUUUGGUCUGGCGGCGGGCGUUGCGAGCAUAAUGGCAUCUGUUAAAUGGUACAUAGACCACAACAUCACGUGGUUGUUCGUUAUUUCAACUUUUCAACAAUCAUAUCGUUCGCUUCGUUCAUGAUGAUCGCUAUCUGGUUUGUGACGACGUCAGAGGGCGAUAUAUCAGAUUUUUAUAAGGACAAAGUCCUUUCAAGGAUUAUAUGGUGGUGAAACAUACCGAUGUGUUGGAGAGAAACGAAUUCUCACAUGAUAAUAUCAUUAAAUACGACGAAAGAAGAGCCUCAAGACUCGCAUUUGUUUACUAAGCACGUGCUGUCGAUAAAUAUCAUGAUUGCCGCGUUCUUGGAGCUGCUCUGGUCCAUUCUUAGCGUUAAAAUAUCAUACAAGGGCAUGAAGAAUGACUACAGAGAAGACAAUAACGACCGAAGAGGCAACUGCGUGUCUGUAGUGACGAAAAUAAAAGGGAAUAAUACGAAAAAACUGCCGCGAAAUAGUAAAUUACUGCCGCCGAAACCUGAUUUGAUCGAACAUUAUCCUAGUAAGAAGAUAAAGAGGAUAUUCUUGGCUCAGGGGGACAGUGGCUUCUAUCUUAAAGGUCAGACUAACAAAGCAAAACAAAACACGGAGACCAGCUCCGAGUUUUACAAAAGAGAAGGAGAUGAUGAAUUUCUUGAACAGAUGCGCGUCCUUUGACGGAAUGUCCAAUCCGGAGAUGAGAACGCCGAGUGUGCAGUCAGAAUCAGCUCUAAACCCGAUACCAGAAGUGGCCAGUGUUGAAAUAAACAUGGAGAACCCAGAGCCCAAGGACAGGAUGACGCCGGUGAGCUGGGGCGACACACCUAUCACACGAUAUACAACCAAAACACGUUGAAUUUAGAAAACAUAUUCGUUUUAAAAAUGCUGAAAAGAAAAGCGAAGAUAUCGGUGAAAUUAAAGAGUGAUUAAUUGCCCGUGAAGGCGGUUUCGCUAAGCGGAUUCACACAAUGUUGAUAAUGUAACUAACUGGCGUACAUUAGUUUUUUAUUGGUGUAAAGACAAUAAGGCUAUUCUGCCAUUGUUGAGUAUAAAAUGUUGAAUCAGCAGCGUUCAUUAGGAAUGGGAAGUGUCCAUUCGUCGUGGCGGUAAAAACUUGUCUAAUCACAAAUUUAUACCUAAAUAUGUUAAUUAAGUCUUUUUAUGCACAAAAUGUGUGUUAUUUAUUUAUGUUCAGUUGUUUAUGGACAUACAGGCGUGUCCACUUGUAGAGUACAAUCUAACAACAAUGAUCUCCUUAUGUAUGAAAUAGAACAAUUGUGGACAGUGGACGCAUAUUCACACAUUAACUUGUGUGAGAUCUGUAAGUGUUCGACUUAUUUUGAGUUUAUAAAAACAAUUUAAUAUUCCACGACCACGAUUCUUUUCAAAACUCACAACUUAAUAAUUUUAAAAGAGUAUUUAUCGAAACACCUACCGCUUUUCAAAAAAUAUCCAUGCAAACAAAUUACUCUACAUUUAUUUGACUCUGAUUUAGCAAACCGACUUACCUUACUGAUAAUAUUUAUUUACAUUAGAUAUUAAUAUACCUGGUGGCUAUGUUUUUGCCAUAAAUAGUGGCAGAAUUAUAAUCGAAAAGCCACUGCAUAGAAGCCAGAACACUGCUUGUUCUUAGAUCAUUUUAUUAUUUUUCUGGGAUAGAUAAAGUCUUCAAACGUUUAGCAACAAAAAUCUACGUCAAUAAAUUCCGUUAUAACUAAAUAUCUUUGAAGUUAAUGUGUUGCGUACGUAAUAUAUUACAAUCGACGCAAAUUAAAAUAAACUCUUACACAUGACCCCUUAAAUAGAAUUUUAUCUACGUCUUACGACUUAUUAUCUUAGGUCGUGUAAUUAGAAAGACAGACGGAACACCCAAUUAUUUAAAUAUCACUGCCGUUUAUAAAUAGAAUAUGCAACGACGUAAUAGUUACUUGAUUCUUCUUUGGACUUCUCCUGCAUCAACAAUUUAAAUGUUUAUUGAUUAUUUUUUUAAGCAUUUUUGAUGCUAACGGUUAUCGAUUGAAUGUGGAGUAUAGAAUUAUGCAAAUUUAUGCGAUUUCAGUUUGAAAGUGAAAUGUAUUCAUGUACGCAAAGUUACAUAAAUAUUUUCACGUCUACAUACAUAAUUAUGAUUGAACAAACUGUCCGAAUGAUUUUUUGCCAACUCUGAAUUGAUGUUCGCAAUCCACAGCCCUUGAAGUGUUCAAAUAAAAACUGGGAACUGGUUUAAGGUCAGGCCGAGUGUAGGCCAAAGGCAACGCGUUAGGUCGGAGAAAGAUUUUAACAAGGUCAUAUUAGCCCUGUGAUAAACAUUGUUUCAUUGUUCAGUCUUUAUUAAUAACUAAAUGUUUCUCGCAGUUUCUCCUGCUUGAAGUAUUUCCCGACACAAAAGUCCCUAAAACACUGUGAUCUGUGGUCAUUUGUAGGAUGCUAAGAUUUAUUAAAAAGAAAAUCCUACGGGAACUCAAGAUCAGGAUAAAAGUAGCAUAUAUACGCUAUACCACCAUGUCUACCUAUGCAUAAAAUUUGAUCCAAAUCAGUGUCUUGUCCGUUACUUCUAACAAACAUCUAAACGUUUUGGCCAACUUUAGAAUGUAUAACAUUCGUAACAAAAGUUUAGGUCUUUCGUCUCACGUCGAGUUGUUGCUUUUCAGUAGACUACAUAUUCGAAAUUAUAGAGCUACUGAGGCGUGUUUCACGCAGCCUCCUUCACCUUUAAAGCGAGCGAUAAUUAACAAUUAAGGUCACUAUUGCUAUGUAUUUUUUACCACUGAUGAAAAUUAUAUAAUUGACCAAAUUUUUUUUUAUAAGUUUAUUUGCAAAUAGUACUGUACACAGUUUUGUCCCCAGAAAGAAGCAACAGCCUCGAUGCACUGGGUACCAACAAUCUCAUAGAAUAGACUGUAUCAUGUAGCCUGUUGGUGAUGAUGAUCACGUACAAUCUAAUAACCAGCUUAUUAAUUUUGUCCGUUCCAUAAAUAAUACAAUAAAUGUUCACAGUAACUUGCAAUCGUAAAUGCCGUAUCAAGUGUCGACUAUUGUGUGGUGUUUUAUAGGCAAAGUUAUAACUAGUUAUCGGGCUUCUAAUGGAUCUUUUAAUUAGAUAUUUUCAUUAAUAGUUUUACUCAUUUUAAGAUAUACUCUACCUUUAUCAGCCAUAUUUGAAAAUGAUUUUUUUGUGAUUUGACUGUCUCGGUGGCGUAGUAGCGUACUGCAUGGGGUACGGCAGCGUCCUGGAUUCGAAUCCCGGGUCGGGCAAAGUGAUGUUUGGGUUUUUCUGCUCAGUAUCAACCCAGAGUUUGGAAUUUGUGCCCGAUGGCGAUAGGCUCGCCCCCUAUCACAUCAUGGGACGGAACAUACUUGGCGAAUAGUGGGAACUUUGGUUGCGCCGUAGCAUACUCCUUCGGGUAUAAAUGCGUGAUGAUGUGUGUGUGUGUGUGUGUUUUUAUGAUUUGUUUAGGCAGCUUUUAGUGGUUUUGUUAGUAAUUCAAGAGAUUUUGUGUGGCUGCGUCUCUUUCCAAAUGCCCUUGUGUCUGCAAGUUACUCAUAUUACUGACCGAGUUAACAGUUUAAAUCAGCGAAUGACACGCGAUAUCUUUAACCGCACGUGCAAAUCAGGCGGGGAUUUAGGCUUGAACCAUUGACGUUUACGUAGUGCAUACAUAUAUAUCGAUGGUUUGAACGAUAAGGCAGCUGAAAUACCUGAAUAAUUACUAAAUUAAGGAGAAAAAUAUUCAUGUUGGUAUCUUAAGAUUUCUUUCAUUUCGUUUAUAUUGUUAAUGACUGCAACGUAUGGAAUGAAUACAGCACUAAAUAUUGUAAAGAAUUCUCAUUUUUUUCGUCUGUUUGACUUAACGCGUUAAUAUAUUGCCCUACGCGGUCAUAUACCAUGCACACCCAAUGUUAUGUAUUUGAGAUUAUGCGCUCGUAGAGAUACAGAGUCCAAUAUAUUUAUAAGUCACAAAAAUAUACUCAUUUAUUGUCCGGCUGUCAAAAAUUUAUAAAAAUAGACCAUAUUUCAUGCGUAUUAAAGUCGCCUUCAAAGGGCUGCCUGCAGCUGCUUAGCAGUUGACAGGUAAGUGAUGGGUUAAGGCAUCAAUGAGUCUUUGGUUAUUGUUGUGGGAAGCGACCACUUACGAUCAAAUAAACGCUUUGUUUUGUCUCUUAAUAUUAUAGUAGAACAGUAGACAUGUUCUACCGUAACACCAGUCCUCAAAGAUACGGACGAACUAUCAAUUGUAUUAUACGAAUCGUUUGUAAUAUACGAAGUAUUUUAUAUUUAAAAUAUAUCAGAAUAAAGUUAGUUGAUUCCGCACUCAGCAGAUGUGCUGGAAACCAACUAUGGUUAAAAAGUUAACAAUUAGAGCCUAAACCAAUAAACAUUUUACUAAACCUAUACAAUGAAUUUAAUCAAUGUUUUUUGCCUUUGAAUCUUAUUGGAAACAUGUCACAAAACAUGGUUAUUGUUUUUUUUUAAUAAUUACUGCGGUUCCUUUCGCGUUUUAUUGAGUGAAUGUUAUUGAACAUUACUUACUCAUUUCAUUUUCUGUCGUAUAGUUUAUUGGUUAAGGUACUUUUUGUUAAUUUAUGAUGGAUCCGACCCUGUCCAAUAAUGAUAUGAUAUUAGAUUAAGACUGAAUAUUUUGUAUUUUUAUACAUUAAAAUAUUAUUUAAA